This is a long non-coding RNA of Saccostrea cuccullata (small rock oyster), 579 nucleotides long. RefSeq lists it as uncharacterized. Lineage: Eukaryota; Metazoa; Mollusca; Bivalvia; Ostreida; Ostreidae. The record is from RefSeq and is a predicted model, not a curated record. The transcript has 4 exons.
UAUCUUUUGUUUACUUUGAUGAUUUUCCUACUGUGAAGCUUUCCUUGUAUAAAGCUCAAUUUUUCCAUGACCACGGAAGUAAACAUCCUGAUGCAUUCUUGUCAUGUGAAUGUUGAGAGCGUGUUCAUUUUUGAAAUCUCCUUUCUGACAGACCUAUUCCACAGGAUCAGCUGAGAUGUAAUCAAUCACUGGAUUAUUUAAUGGAUAGGCUUAUUGGGCAUAUAUUUGGAUAUCUCUGUCAUCAACAUGGAAUGUAUGACUUCAUCUUUUAUACAGUCGGGUUCGGGGUUUCGGGCGGCCAUGACGAAUUUCGGCAAGAUUUUACCCCAGUGAAAAAGGCUUGUAAUCCACAGUUCCUCAACCUGGAAGAUAUGUUUUGUUCCUAACCAUCUAUAAUCCAUUCUCUAUGAAGUGAAGCCUGGCUGCUCUUCCUUUGGAAAUACACAGUUAAUCAAUCAACAUAGAAACACACAAACUUGAAGGUAAAGUUUCAAUGAGAUACAAUUGUAACUUUUAUUUAUUUAUUUAUUUUUUUUUGUUACAUAUGCAUGUUUAUAUUUUUGAAUUGAUAAAUAAAUG